GUGAAAUGCGUAGAGAUCGGGAGGAAUACCAGUGGCGAAGGCGGCCUUCUGGACUGACACUGACACUGAGGUGCGAAAGCGUGGGUAGCAAACAGGAUUAGAUACCCUGGUAGUCCACGCCGUAAACGAUGUCGACCAGCCGUUGGGUGCCUAGCGCACUUUGUGGCGAAGUUAACGCGAUAAGUCGACCGCCUGGGGAGUACGGCCGCAAGGUUAAAACUCAAAUGAAUUGACGGGGGCCCGCACAAGCGGUGGAGCAUGUGGUUUAAUUCGAUGCAACGCGAAGAACCUUACCUACUCUUGACAUCCUGCGAAUUCGGUAGAGAUACCUUAGUGCCUUCGGGAGCGCAGAGACAGGUGCUGCAUGGCUGUCGUCAGCUCGUGUUGUGAAAUGUUGGGUUAAGUCCCGUAACGAGCGCAACCCUUGUCCUUAUUUGCCAGCACGUAAUGGUGGGAACUCUAAGGAGACUGCCGGUGACAAACCGGAGGAAGGUGGGGACGACGUCAAGUCAUCAUGGCCCUUACGAGUAGGGCUACACACGUGCUACAAUGGCCGGUACAAAGGGCGGCCAACUUGCGAGAGUGAGCGAAUCCCAAAAAGUGCGUCGUAGUCCGGAUUGGAGUCUGCAACUCGACUCCAUGAAGUCGGAAUCGCUAGUAAUCGUGGAUCAGAAUGCCACGGUGAAUACGUUCCCGGGCCUUGUACACACCGCCCGU
This 717-nucleotide ribosomal RNA is filed under the name uncultured bacterium. RNAcentral's name for it is "bacterial SSU rRNA". It matches the Rfam family "Bacterial small subunit ribosomal RNA", at positions 681 to 1397 of the family's 1533-position model. The record is from RNAcentral.